Molecule: long non-coding RNA, 218 nt
Organism: Photinus pyralis (common eastern firefly)
Lineage: Eukaryota; Metazoa; Arthropoda; Insecta; Coleoptera; Lampyridae
Exons: 3
Source: RefSeq, a predicted model, not a curated record
ACAGAGCGAGAUUGCGACAAUUUGUGUUACUCUCUACGGAAUGAACAGAAAUUAUUGUUCAGGCUACUCCUUGCUGGACCCUUUACAAGCACUUGUAUUGGUUCAAAGUACCUGUACAAGCUCAAAUAUGACCAACACACGACGUGGUACGUAUACGGUAUUCUAGCACGGACAUGUCAAAUCGAUUUUCUGAAGGAACCUUUCAACUUAUUCCCAAG